GAAAAGCAUAAUAGAGAAGCUGGUUAAAUGCCAGCACGGUCCCGCCACUGUAUGGUCGAGCGAGUCUAAAUUAAGUCACUGGGAAACUGGGAAGGCUAGAUAAGCGAUGACGCCGAGUCAGGAGAACUGCCUAUUCAA
RNAcentral lists this non-coding RNA (138 nucleotides) under Veillonella dispar. Lineage: Bacteria; Bacillati; Bacillota; Negativicutes; Veillonellales; Veillonellaceae. The record is from RNAcentral. RNAcentral also lists the same sequence under 1 other name.